AGCGUUUUCCUAUCUGAAGCCCAUGCACGACUGAACUUAAGGAACAAAGUGCUUAAAGAAGAUGUGCUGAUUGCAGCCUUACUAUUUGAAACAUCCCUCACAUUGAAAUACGGGGCCACUGUAUUUUGUGUUGCUCCAAAUGCAGUAUUUCCAUUUGAACUGUAUAAUGAAGAAUACUUAGAGCAAAGGGAUCUCUAUCUGACUCAGUGCCAACAACAGCUGGAACAAUUUAUUGCCACAUAUGGACCUGGGACAACUAUUUUCUCUAGUGAUGAAUAAGCAAUUUGAGGAAUUUUUGUUCAUUCCUACUUAAGCAGUGGAGAAAAAGUGUGACUAUUUUGAGAGUGACUUUGAAGUAAUGCUUUGAUAAUACUCUGUACAGGAAUAUAUUACAAUACUGUUUUUAAAAAUAUAAAAUAUAGUCCCCUCAAAACUAAUUGCUAAUGGGAUAAAUACUAAUCCAAACCUCUAAAACCAACAGAAUUUUAA
Molecule: long non-coding RNA, 489 nt
Filed under: Pan troglodytes (chimpanzee)
Lineage: Eukaryota; Metazoa; Chordata; Mammalia; Primates; Hominidae
Description: long non-coding RNA NONPTRT016727
Source: RNAcentral